This 305-nucleotide ribosomal RNA is filed under the name uncultured bacterium. RNAcentral describes it as "bacterial SSU rRNA". It matches the Rfam family "Bacterial small subunit ribosomal RNA", at positions 332 to 635 of the family's 1533-position model. The record is from RNAcentral.
CUUAGCCUACGGGGCGCAGCAGUGAGGAAUAUUGGUCAAUGGGCGGAAGCCUGAACCAGCCAAGUCGCGUGAGGGAAGAAGGCCCUGCGGGUCGCAGACCUCUUUGGACGGGGAGCAAGGCCGCCGACGUGUCGGCGGAAGGAGAGUACCCGUAGAACAAGCAUCGGCUAACUCCGUGCCAGCAGCCGCGGUAAUACGGAGGAUGCGAGCGUUAUCCGGAUUUAUUGGGUUUAAAGGGUGCGUAGGCGGACUGUUAAGUCAGCGGUAAAAGCCCGGGGCUCAACCCCGGCGAGCCGUUGAAACUG